GACGCGGCAAGGGGGCGGGGCCAAAGGCCCUAAGCUCGGCGUUCCAGAGAGUGGGGAGGGGGCAAGUGUCAGUCAGUACGGGAGUCCGGCGGGUUACAGCGGAGGCCUAGGUGGCAGACAGGGGGCCCGGGCCGCUGCGUGUUGUCCACCCAAGAUGGAGUUCCUCCUGGGGAACCCGUUCAGCACACCAGUGGGGCAGUGCCUCGAAAAGGCAACAGAUGGCUCCCUGCAAAGUGAGGAUUGGACGUUGAAUAUGGAGAUCUGUGACAUCAUCAAUGAGACGGAGGAAGGGCCAAAGGAUGCCAUUCGAGCCCUGAAGAAGCGGCUCAACGGGAACCGGAACUACAGAGAGGUGAUGCUGGCAUUAACAGUGCUGGAGACAUGUGUGAAGAACUGUGGCCACCGCUUCCACAUCCUUGUGGCCAACCGAGAUUUCAUCGACAGUGUUCUGGUCAAAAUUAUAUCUCCCAAGAACAACCCUCCCACCAUUGUACAGGACAAAGUGCUUGCUCUGAUCCAGGCAUGGGCUGAUGCCUUUCGAAGCAGUCCUGAUCUCACCGGCGUUGUGCACAUAUAUGAGGAGCUGAAGAGGAAAGGGGUUGAAUUUCCCGUGGCAGACUUGGACGCUCUGUCUCCCAUACACACACCACAGCGGAGUGUCCCUGAAGUGGAUCCAGCCGCGACCAUGCCCAGGUCCCAAUCACAGCAGAGGACAAGUGCUGGUUCCUAUUCCUCGCCGCCUCCUGCUCCCUACUCCGCACCGCAGGCCCCAGCUCUGAGUGUGACUGGCCCCAUCACAGCCAAUUCAGAACAGAUUGCCAGGCUGCGGAGUGAACUGGACGUCGUUCGAGGAAACACAAAAGUCAUGUCUGAGAUGUUAACAGAAAUGGUCCCUGGACAGGAGGAUUCAUCUGAUCUGGAGUUGCUGCAGGAGCUCAACAGGACCUGUCGGGCCAUGCAGCAGCGCAUCGUGGAGCUCAUCUCCCGCGUGUCCAACGAGGAGGUCACCGAGGAGCUGCUGCAUGUGAACGAUGACCUCAACAACGUCUUCCUUCGAUACGAGAGGUUCGAACGAUACAGGUCUGGCCGAUCGGUUCAAAAUGCCAGUAAUGGAGUACUGAAUGAAGUAACCGAAGACAACUUAAUAGACCUGGGGCCAGGGUCUCCAGCCGUGGUGAGCCCAAUGGUGGGGAACACAGCGCCCCCAUCUUCCCUCUCCUCCCAGCUUGCAGGCUUAGACUUGGGGACAGAGAGCGUCAGUGGCACCCUCAGUUCACUCCAGCAAUGUAAUCCCCGUGACGGCUUUGACAUGUUUGCCCAGACGAGAGGAAACUCCUUGGCUGAGCAGCGCAAGACGGUAACCUAUGAGGAUCCUCAGGCUGUCGGAGGACUUGCUUCUGCACUAGACAAUCGAAAACAGAGCUCAGAAGGGACAGAGUUUCAGUCUUGUUGCCCAGGGUGGAGUGCAAUGGCGUGAUCUCGGCUCACUGCAACCUCUGCCUCCCGGGUUCAGGUGAUUCUCCUGCCUCAGCCUCCCCAGUAGCUGGGACUACAGGCACAUACCACCACACCCAACUAAUUUUGUAUUUUUAGUAGAGACUGGGUUUCUCCCUGUUGGUCAGGCUGGUCUCAAACUCUUGACCUCAGGUGAUCUGCCCGCCUCGGCCUCCCAAAGUGCUGGGAUUACAGGCGUGAGCCACCGUGCCCUGCUCAAUUCAACAUUCUUAACUCCCCAGUAAGUCAAAGAAAUAAUGGGCAACACAGACUCUUCCUAAUCUGAUCAGUGACUGGCUUGGGCCUUUCUGAAAGUGCUCUUGUGGGCUUCCCACAUUGGGUCCGAAGUUAGGACACAGAGCACAUUCCUCAGAGCAAGGGGCCAGCUGAGCUCACUGAGGGAGUGAAAAGCUCUGGUGGCAUCGUAGAUACCUGCUCAGAGUGCUGGACUCCACCUGGGACCCCAAACCACCCUCUCCCACCAUCAGCAGCAGGUGUCAACCCCCAGGACUGGAGUUGUCACAUCACUGCUGGUGAUAUGUGUUCUUUGUUCUUUUUCUUUGUGAAGGUCGUGUUAUUUUUUACAUUUGAUAGACACUGGGGUAUGCGUUCCUUUUACUGCUUAUUUUUACUUUAGUCUUACCCUAGAUCAUGGCAUUGGGUGAAGCCAGCUAUAGACAGAGCUGGCAUUUUUGUAAUAGAAAUAGGGGUCUUGCAAGUGAGCCCCGGAAGGGUACCUCCCAGAGCCAGGGUAGGUGAGGAGGUGAUUAAGGGUCAUCACCUCAUUUCUCUAGGCUGGGAGCCAACAUUCCAUUAACAUGGCUUCUAGGGAGCUUACUUCUUAUCAUGUCAUAUUUGACGGCAACUUAAACCUUUUUAGCCAUGUGCAUUUUUCAGAGUCUCUGUCCCUGAGGUGCUUGGCACAGGGGCCCAAGCAAGGUGACUGUUCAGGCAACCCCGUGGUACACCUUAGUAUGCCUGGAAGCUGUCACCUCCCUGGCUCUGGCUGCUGCGCCCCAGUGCUCAGCUGAACUUGGUUUCUUUGACUCCUGAAGCACAGCCAGCCAUUGAACACAGGGAAGAAAGGACGAGACUAAAGGGAGCUGUUGCUUUCAGCGCUGCUUCAUGAAUUUCCCCUAAAGAGACACAAAGAAGACUAAAGCCCCAUAGUCCCCUUUGUCAUCAGAGCCCUCGUUUUUGCUGUGUUUCUGUUGAUGGUAAAAUGUGCCUGCCUCUGUCUACCAGGCCACACCCAGCCCAGCGGAGCACGCACCUCCUCCAGUUCCCCUCUCCACUCAGAAAUGCACCAGGACGCAUUUCAAAAUCUCUUCAGCGGAGUAAACAGACCCCCUGCAUCCCCCCGGGGCUGGUGCUGCCCUGCCCUCUGAGCACCUAUACCCCGCUCUGGGCAGGCUGUCACUUGGCCUUCCCUGGGUUGGGCUUGACAGCGGACUGUCAUAGUGGCUGAGUUCAAAAUCAGCCUGCAUGGCAGCGCCUUCCUGAAGUUAGAAGGUGUUUUGCAGCCCCGGGCUGAGAGGCCCCGCAAUGUGAGAGUGGACACUCAUAGUCAAAAAGUUCUCCAUUUCAAGAACGCGUACAGCCACCUUCCUUACCGCCGGCCCUGCCGGGAGCCUGCUUCUUAUCAUUUGCACCUCAUUGCUUUCCUCACCUGCCAUCUCACACGUGGCUGCCCUGUGUUGCCCCUGUGUGCCGUGCCAAUUGUGUUUUUUUGCUCUGUGUAUAUUUUGGUUUUAUUUGGGGUUGCUGUUGAUGAUUUCCUUUGUUCCGGUGUUCUGUCUCCCCUCGCUGGCUGUGUGGGGGCUGCCUGGCCCACUGCUUGCCGCCUCCAUAGAUCCCCGUUGCGCAGCCAUCUGUCAUGGACGACAUUGAGGUGUGGCUCAGGACCGACCUGAAGGGUGAUGAUCUGGAGGAGGGUGUCACAAGUGAAGAGUUUGAUAAAUUCCUUGAAGAAAGAGCCAAAGCUGCUGAAAUGGUUCCCGACCUCCCCUCGCCCCCCAUGGAGGCUCCUGCCCCAGCCUCAAACCCUUCUGGCCGGAAGAAGCCAGAGCGGUCAGAGGAUGCCCUCUUCGCCCUGUGAGCAGCUCUGUGGUUUGCCUCCCCAGAUGGCGGGUCCCCGCUCGCACCCCGUGGACACCGGGCACUGGCCACUCCUACAUCCCCAGCUCCACACGGCCUGCACACCUGUGUUUCCAUGGAAAUGCCACCGUGUCUGCUCCCAGGCCUCCCACUAGUCAGGACCAGCUUCAGCCACUUCUUUUCUCUGAGUGGUGGGACAGCUGCAGCCAGAGACUCUCUCCCCUCCCACCACGGGCCCCUCUGCCCAUGUUUCCUCCCAGGAAGAGCGGGCAGAGUGGCCCAGCCCCAGGCAGUGCUUCCUGAGCAGACCACCCGGACUGUCUUUCCUCCACCCGCCCAUGGAGAAAGAGCACGCCCGGCCCCGCCCUGUGCUCACCUCUGCCUGGCUCAGCGACCUUCUCAGGCAUUCUGCCCUCCUGGGCCCCUCUCUCCCUGAAGGGGCUUUGUGGCAUCUCUGGAAGAGCAGGGUGUGCUGCACUCAUGGGCCUGGUCUCACUCCUUGGACUUGUCACCUUGUGACGUUUGGCUUAUCAGCAUUUGAGAAGGCUCUGCUGGGUCUCCACGGGGGGGGGGUCUCUCACCUUCUUGACCCUCUCUCCAUCAUUGAGCUGCCAGCCCAGGCUUCACACCCAAGCUGGCUCAGCAGCCGAGCCUGGCACCGAGGGGCCCUGCAGGCUCCCUGGGCAGGGAGAGGGCCAAGGACAAUUGGGAGGGCAGCAGGCAGCCCGCAGAUGGUGGCCAUGUGGCACGCUGCUGAGACGACACUACCAAUAAACCAAACUGCCACGCACACACUGCAGGCUCACACCCACACACCUGGUCCUGGCUUGUGGAGGGACUUGCACUGGAGGUAUUGCUCUGGCUUGCCUGGGGAAGUGUCGCAGAUGUGCACAUGGGCCACACUCAGUGCUGUGGCCUGGCCUGCCGUAGCCUCGCACAUCUGCCUCAAGAGCCAGCAGCAAACAGCUUUGUGGCAUCCUUGGAGGUUCCCAGUGACUGAGAGGCCUGGGCAGCACUAAGGCCCCUGCUCUGCUCCCUGGCAUAGGCCUUGGCCUCCUUGCACAGACUCUUCUGACAGUCUGGCCUCCUCCCACCUCAGAGGUCCUCUGGCCACCAAUUUAUACUCUCUCCCCAAGCUGAUCCUGAAGGCAGGCAGAGCAGCUAGGGGCUGGUAACAUGUAUUCCCAUCCCGUGUCCUCACUGGUGUGUCUCCUGGCCAUGGGCAAGGGACUCGGGUCAUCCCAGGCCCUGGUCCAGCCAGACACCUGGCCCCACACCUCUCACCAGGCUGCUGUUGCUCAGAAGGAGAAUACUGCAGCUGUGUGCAUCCCCGUGUGUCUUGGGCCCAGCUCGCUGGGUCAGUCUGCUCUUGUCCCCUCCAGCAUGCACUGCCUAGGUCAGCACAAGUUCCUGAUCCAUGGUGUAGUUAGCCCUUCCCACCUGGCAGGACGGCCCAGACCACCAGCCAAGCAGGGAAAGGGGGCUGGGCUUGACGGGAGAAGAGACCAGCGACAUGGUCGUUGGGGAGCAUUCAGGAUGGCGACUUCAGCUGGGGGUCAUGCUGAGCACCAACAGGAACUAUUCCAGUGAAGAGCAAGUGCUGCCCAACCCAGGACCCUGUGCCAGGCUAGCAGCCCUCCAGCUUCCUCCAGAGAGGAAACCUCUGUCUGGCUGAGGGCGGGACUAGCUGGGAUGUCUCACUCCAGUUGCUCAGGUUCACCCAGGAAGCUCCUCCGUGGAGUGGCCAGCCUGAUUCUAGCCCUGUCCUCUCUGGCAGCACAUGCCACACCUGCCUGGGCCUUCUGCUCCCUGAUGCUUGAUGAGCCCCUGCCUCCUCAAUGUUUCUCAAAGACAGACCCCCCUGAGGCCAGCUUGAAUGUGAAGACUUCUGAAGUCAGCUGGCUUCACUUGAGCUGCAGAAAAGGUGGCUGGGAUGGCCCAGGUGCACCCAGAGGCCCCAGCCCUUUGGCUGCCUUUGGGUUGUGACUUGGGUUGUCUCUGAGGCCCUGCCAGAGCUGGGCCUGCGGGUGGUGGGCGGCCGGACCUCGGGCAGUCAGUGCUCCGCAGCCUCAGCACUGCAGCCCAGACCCAGUGUCCUCAGAGGGAAGAGCCAGCCUCCCUGCCUCAUGGAACCAGGAGUCCCAAAAAGUCAGGAGCCUGGAGGCUCUGAAAGGAGCAGGGAUUCCGUAGUGCGUGAAGCUGAAAUAGGCGCCCUCCUGGGGAGCCCCCAGCAAAACUGUUUUUCAUACCCACUCCCAGAACUGCCCCACCCCAGCUCCAGCUCCAGCGCCAGCUGGUUGCCAGGCAUCACUGGAGAGGCCUGGCUGCCCCAGGGGCAGCAGGGAGUGGUGGACCUGUAUGGGCUGGCAGGAGGCCAUUGGCCAUGCUGACAAGUGUCACCUGUCUUCCUGGCCUGGAGCCACCCCUCAGGUGGCCUGCUUGCACCUCCUAUCCGGAGGUAGCCUGCCCCACCUGUAGGCAGAGGGGGCUCUUGCUUGAGGCCUGCACGGGAAGCAAGUAUAGCCCCGGUGCCCCAGAGUGGGUUCCGCUUAGCCCUGGCGAGAUGUCGUGUCCUGAGAUCUCUGCUCCCAGACCCCACCAUCUGGGGAGCACAGUCCUUAGGCUGCCUGGUCCAGGAAGGGGGCGCGGCUCUGUCAGGAAACCUGGACUCUCAAGGCCCAGCAGCCUCUCCGUGAGUGUUAGAAAUCACAGAUACAGUAUAUACUUAAUUACACUAAAUUAUUGCUGGGAUUCCUUAUAAGCACUAAUUAUACCUGAUUAUAGGUUAAAAUAUUUAUUUUGUCAAAACAUUUUCUUGGGAAUGUGUUUAACCCUUUCUGUGUUCAUUGUUGCUGAGAUGUGAAAACUAACCAUUCCCUCCUGCCUAUCUUUUUGGCCACUGGGCGGCAGAGAAUGGCGCUAUGUGCAGUUGGGCCCCCGGCACCAUGGGCCUUUGGCCUGCCUGCCGCAGAGUAGCCCUGCCUGGGCAGUCUCCAGGCACUGAGCAGGCCAUCUGUGGCCAGGCUGAGAGAAUGACUGGCUCGCUUACCAGCGUGCAUGGGACAAGGAGCUUUGGAGCCUCAAGGGGUUGUUGCUGGCCUGGGCUAGAGGGAAAGGUGACCAUCCGUCUGUCCUCCUGUCUUUCUAUUAGCGCCUCCAUGUGAGUGAUGGUGCCUUGGUUCACUAGCCUUCCCCCACCACCCCACCAUGCCACCUGGUGGUCUUGGGGCCUGUGCUGUCACUCCAGCCCCUGGGGAGGAGAGGACCCAGCCCGGAGAGUUGGGGCAAGGGCUCCACAUGGCCCAAGGGCAACAGAUGCUCGCAGGGCAGCUGCUGCCGAUGCUCACGCUCCUGCCCCCCUCCUUCCCGCUGCCACACCCCACCCUGGGGCCCCGCAGACAUGCAUCUCUAACUCAGUUGGGCCCAGCCUUCUGGAUGGCUUGGGGUAGGCCAUGGGCCCACCUGGGGCCAGGCCAGCCCUUGGGGCAGCUCUGGAAGAGCAGUGUGGAGGAGCCCUUGCUUGCAGCCUGGCUUCAGCCUCUGGCACUGCUGGAGUGGUCCCUGGGAGCUUCUGCACUGUCGGCUGUGGGGACGUCUCACCCACUUGGGUUACAGCCAGCCUUCCCCACCCAGAGAGAAGUGUUUCCACCCCAGAGACAUUGCCUGUCAGCCCCUGAAGUGCUCGCCUCCCCCAGUGCCCGUCACCAGCCCUUCCUAUCUGUGGGGUCCAAGUCAGGCUUCCCCUGCGGCCACCAGCCAUAGGGAGCAGCCAUCAGCCCCCGAGUCAGAACUGCUUCUGUCUGUCCAUACCUCCAGGCUCUCCCGGAGAGGGGGACGGAUAUUUAUUUCCUAAAGUUUGCACUUAAUUGUGAGGAUUCUCAGGAUUGUUGGGGGCUACUGAAAAGAGGAAUGUGUUGAAUGUCGCGUUUGCUGUCCACUCGUCCUAGAAGUUUAGUGUUUUUGUCACUGUCAUGUGUUUCUGUGGGCAGAGCUGGUUCUGGAGGGUGGGUCAGUGCACCCGAGGCUCAGAGCAUCCAUCCACCCCACUGGCCCUCCUUCCAGAUACCCUCUCUCUAAUUGGGUUCUUGCAUGUAAAAUACUCCACAAUAAAUAAAUAAUUGAACAAAUUA
This is an RNA transcript of Pan troglodytes (chimpanzee), 7721 nucleotides long. It is a transcript of the gene named target of myb1 like 2 membrane trafficking protein, with no coding region annotated. The transcript has 15 exons. The record is from RefSeq and is a predicted model, not a curated record. Lineage: Eukaryota; Metazoa; Chordata; Mammalia; Primates; Hominidae.